UAUCUUUGUAAAAAUUUUGGUUUCCAAUAGAUUUGGAAUUAAUAGGGAAUUGGGUGAAAAUCCCAAACUGUCCCCGCAACUGUAAAUCGCAAUUAAAGUUUCUACGAAAAUACCACUGUGAAAAUGGGAAGGUGUAGAAAGCGAAAGUCAGGAGACCUGCCAAGUUUUAUAAUCAAAAA
RNAcentral lists this non-coding RNA (179 nucleotides) under Chryseobacterium fistulae. Lineage: Bacteria; Pseudomonadati; Bacteroidota; Flavobacteriia; Flavobacteriales; Weeksellaceae. The record is from RNAcentral.